GCUGAGACUCACGAAAAAUAAAAAGGGGGGUCAUUUCUCUUUAUAUAAAAAGCUCACACACACACACCUAACAGGAGGAAUGAAAAAACAACAGGGAUAGGGAAAUAAUAAAUAGAAGGGGAAAAGGGAAAAAAACCUAGAGAAAUAGCUAGAAAAAACAUAGAUUCCUUUUUGUUGGCUAACAAGGAUCCGCCGCAAUUCUCAAUAGAGGAGGACCCAUCUGACUCCCAUCUUCUUCAUUAGAAAUGGGAAUCAACAACCAUGAACAAAAAUGCUUUCGUUGUUUAACAAACACGGAACCCACCCCCACCAGGUCGUCGCCUCUGCUUCUCCAUCCCAGAAAAUCCGCCUGAACUCUUUCUUAUUCUUCAAAGCUUCACAAGAUGUCGACCCCUUUUUUUAAGCUCUGAAAGUUGUUGUCAUCAAAGUUUCCGGUCAGUCGAGUUUUUCGUUGGUUCCGAAGCGAGGUUUCUUCAUCGUUGAGGUCCCCGAUCCGAGAUCAGCGAGGGUUCCCGACGAGGUCCCUUUUGGCUUUGAGUCGGAUUUUCCUCUUAUCUGCUUUUGGAUAAUCGACUGACUUUCUGUACAUUUGCUUGGAGUUUUCCUGCUAAUACAAGGUGCAUUUUUCUUCUUUAACAUGCUUCUUAGUACCACAAUAUUUGCUAUAAGUUUAUUUGCCUAAUGAAAGUUAGAUGAUAUUCUUGUUAAAUGUGAUUAUUGGUAUGUUUAAGUCAUGUAUCUGUUUAAGAAUUUCCAUGGUUUAGACGUAUAUUUUUGUUUUAUGAGCUUGGAGUCAUGUGUAGAAUUAGGGAGGGAUUUUUCCUUUGUUAAAAUUGAGAUAAAGCAUCUUGAAAUUUGUUAAAGAGAUUGUGUCUGUUAGCAGAGGUUAAAAAUAAGGUGUAGGUUUUAGUGAAAAUGAUUUGGCUUUUGGGAUUAUUUUGAAUAUAGAAAAUUCUGGGCCAAAAAUAAUUGAAAUUCAAGAGUCCAAAACGUUCUUCUCCAUUUUUGUGAUGAACAUUUCCAAGUAAUCGAAUAAUGUCAUUUCUUUCUAUAAUAAUUUUCACAACUCUUAGAUAUAUUACUGAUAAUCUAGAACUUUAAAAAAGGUGAAUAAAUUAUGAACAUCCGCAGUUUGCUUUAAGUUGAAUAAAACCUUUUAAAAUAAUUUGAGGUGUGUCAUGCCAAAUAAAAUCUUGAAAUGUGUGGACCUGACCCUUUUAAUUUUAAUCCUCAAAAAUCAAAGCGUGUCAUUUAGUUGAAUUUUCCAUGGUCCUCGCAAACCUAAAAGUGCGUAGUUGCUUUAGGCACGCUAUUUAAAAAGUUACUUUCCUAAAUUCGGGUGUGCAUUUAUGUGACCUAAAUCCAAAUCACCACAAUGUUAGAUGAAAUGUGUCGGAGACAGCGGGUGCAUUUAUGUGACGUGGUUCAACACGUGUUUUAUAUGACGUUGAAAUCUUCCCCAAAAAGUAAUUAAAUAAAAGCGGUUAUAAAGUUAAAAUUGCACCAUAAGUUAAAACAUUUAAUAAAAUCAGAUAAUAGGCCAUUUAUAAUAUUUGAGCGACCGUGCUAGAACCACGGAACUCGGGAAUGCCUAAUAUCUUCUCACGGGUUAACAGAAUUCCUUACCCGGAUUUCUAUCUUUGCGGACUGUAAUACACAGUCAAUCGUUUCCUCGACUCGGGAUUUGAACCGGUGACUUGAGACACCAUAAAAUUAUCCCAAGUGGCGAUUCUAAUUUUAAUAAAUAAAUAAUCACGUUUCGAUUGUCACUUUAAGUUGGAAAAAACUCCCUUAUAUACCCCUUCUCGGGGUGUAGGAAAAAGGAGGUGUGAAACAAGGUACCACAUAACCAUAAUAAUGAGGUGUAUAAGGUAUGUUGAAAGUGAGUAGUAUUUUGAGUAACUUGUUCUAAUUCUUGAUUAUGUGAGUAAUUGGUUAAUUAUUGGAUUAAUGGGAGAUUAACCAAAUUAAUUAAAGGUUGUGGAUAAUUAUUUAAGUAAGAUUUGGAUAAUUAUUAGGGGGAUAACAAUCCACGUGGAAUUAUGAAGAUUUGGCACCAAAUUGCCAACUAAUAUUAUACUUAAGGAGGUGAUGGCACUAUCCAUAUGCACAUUAUCUCAUUCUUGGGUUGAAAGAUUCAAUUAAGGCUUCUCUAAAUUCACAAAGUGAAAGGCUUAUUAGUUUGUAAAAUUAAAACAGCAAUAUGGAUGAAGAUUAUGACAAAGUGGGAUGUAUUAGUUCCUUUUGGGGGAAAGUUGAACAAGGUCUCUAUUACUAAGUUACUAUAGCAUUGUUUGCUAAAGGAGCAGCAACGCAAUGUAAAAUUGCAAGAUAAACAACAUGUCAUUAAGGGCAGAAAUGUUUUGCUAUUUAAGAUAAGAAAAGAUUAAGCUUUCUCUACUUGAUUCUCGCAUCGAUUUUAUGAUUCUAAUAUCGAUUCCCUAUGGUUGUUAGCGGAUUGAAGUUAUUUCGUAGUAAUGUAAAGUGGAAGGAAGUUUAAAAUAGGGAAACAAAAGUACACUCCAUCAUCAACGACCUUCUACAAGUUUGCUGCUAAUCCAUUGUUGUUGUGUUAUUGUCGUCUCUCAUAGAUUAACUGUGACGAUCCGGCCGGUCGUCUUAAGAAUUUAUGCCCCAAUCCCCUAUUAACUGCUUUCUCCAAGUUUAUUUCUGCUAUUUUAAUUUGUCGGGAUGUUCGAAUUUUGAAUUUCGGAGAGUUUUGGGACACUUAGUCCCUAAAUGAGAGCUUAAGUAUUGGAAAGUUGACCGUAGUAGGAAUUGUGUGAAGACGGCCUCAGAAUGGAAAUCUGAUGGUUCCUUUAGCUCCGUUGGGUGAUUUCGUGGUUAGGAUCGUGUUCGAAUUGUGUUUUGGAGGUCGAUAGCUAAUUUAGGCUUGAAAUGCCGAAGGUUGUAUUUUUGAAGUUUUCGGUUCGAUAGCGAGAUUUUGAUCCGAGGAUCGAAAUGGAAUUCCGAGAGUUGCAGUAGUUCCAUUGUGUCAUUUGGGACGUGUGUGCAAAAUUUCAGGUCAUUCGGAUGAGGUUUGAUAGACUUUUUGAUCGAAAGCGUAUUUUGAGGAUUUUGGAGUUCUUAGGCUUAAAUCCAUGGUUAAUGCGAGGUUUCGAUGUUGUUUUAGAUGUUUUAAGGAUUAGUACAAGUUUGAAUAGGGUUUUAGGAUAUGUAUGUGCCAUUGGUUGAGGUCCCGGGGGCCUCGGAUGUGUUUCGGAUGCUCAACGGAUCAUUUUAAGUUGUUAAAAAGUUGCAGAUUUUGUUCAGCUGUUGCAGAGGAAUUCUACCCUUCGCGCUCGUGAUGGGAUCUCCGCGUUCACAAAAGGCUGGAUACUUGUGAACCGUUUUCCCGACUGAGCUUCGCAUUCGCGGAGGAGGAAAUUUGGCCCGGUAGAAUUUACUCAUCGCGUUCGCGAUGAGAGGAACGCGUUCGCGAAGGUUAGACGGGGUAAAGCAUCGCGUUCGCGAGGGCCUUGUCGCGUUUGCAUAAGAGGACUUUUGGUCAAUGUCAUUUUUGUGCUUCGUGAGCGCGAGGCUUUGACCGCGUUCGCAAUGAAGGAAUUAAUGUCUGGGCAGAAUGUUUUAAAAGGUUUAUUUCGCAAAUUUUAGCCUAGGUUUCUCCAUUGUUAGGCAAUUUUGAAGCUUUUUUUGAAGAGGGAUUCAAGGGGAAUCACUUGGAGGUAACAUUUUUGACUUGAUAACUCAUUUUUAUGUGAUUAAAGACCUAAUUAGUGGUGAAAACUUUGGGAAAAAUGGGUAAUUAGGGCUUGAGUUUACGAGACCUUUAAAUGAGGAUUUGAGGGGGCAUUUGGACUCCGAUUUUAGUGUUCUUAUUAUGUAUAGACUCGUGAGAGUACGAGGUUUCUGAAAUUAUAAAUUUCACCAAAUUCCGAGACGUGGGCCCGAGAGGCGUUUUGGUCAUUUUGCCUAAUUUUGCGUAUUAGCUUAGAAUUAAAUUGUAGAAUCAGUUGCUUGAAGUGUUAUUUACAUUAUAAAAUUGAAUUGAAUAGAUUUGAGCCAUUUGGAGUUGAGUACUCGUAGCAAGAAUGGUCUCGGGUUGAUUUUGAGCCGGUUCAAGGUAAGUGGCUUGUCAAACCUUGUGUGGGGGACCUUCCCCUUAGGAUUGGUAUAUUUGUUAAUUGAAAUCCUUGUACGUGAGGUGAUGAGUGCGUACUUGUGGUAAUUGUUGGAAAAUUCGGUUUCCAUUAAGUAUUUAUCAGCAUGUUUCCUUUCGUGCUUUUAUUACUUAUACUAUUAAGCCUGUUGUUAGCUUAAGAAAGCAUGUCUAAGUGAUUUAAUUGCUUGAUUGUUCAAUCUGUUUACCUGAACUCCGUGCAGCAUGCUAGGCUAGAAUUAUUUGUUGCCUUAAUAAGAAAUUUCCCUUCUCUGAAUUUAUUUUUUCUUGCUGCUGCUGUGUAUUUACAUUGGGACUGCGGAUGUGGGAUUCCGGUAGAUUCCCCUUGUCUGUUUACUUUGGGACUACGGGUUAGAUUCCCGGUAGAUCCCCCUACACAAUUAUAUGGAACUACGGGAAUGCACUCGGUAGAUUCCCCCAGUACUGGGUAUUUAUUUCUGGGACUACGGAUUGAAUUUCAGUAGAUCCCCGCGCAUUGAUAGUUGGACUACAGGACGGGAUCUCGGAAGAUCCUUCGGACACAUAUAUGAUGGACUACGGGAUGGUAUCCCGGGAGUUCCACUAGAUAGUUGUAAUUGGGACUACAAGACGGUAUCCUGGAAGGUGCCCCGGUUGUUAUCUCUGUGUUGAGUUGUAUUUCUUUCCGUGGUUUGUUUGUCUCUGUUCUAGUUGUGGUUGUUCUUACAAUUCUAUGUUAUUUCUUACUGUUGCACUUAUUUAUACUGUUUUAUUUCACACUGUUAACCCUUAUAUUUUGUUUAACCUCAGUAGGGCCUUGACCUUCUUCGUCACUACCCGACCGAGGUUAGGCUUGGCACUUACUGAGUACCGUUGUGGUGUACUCAUGCCCUUUCUGCGCAUGUUUUUCAUGUGCAGAUCCAGGUACUUCUACUCAGGCCUACCAUCCUUGAGGGAGGCGUCUGCUCUAGAGACUUCGAGGUACAUCUGCUGCGUCCGCAGACCGAGGAGUCUCUUUCUAUUCUAGUUGUUGAACAUUGCCCUUAUGUAUUUCUCUUUCUUGUUAGAUAUUCUGGAGUUAGACUGUUAGAUAUUCCAAAGGCUUGUGUUCCCGUGAGUUUUCAAGUUUUGGGAUAGUGUAUUUGGUUUGAGAAUGUUGUGUUGUUUAUGCCGAGCGGCAUUAUAAC
Molecule: long non-coding RNA, 5286 nt
Filed under: Nicotiana tabacum (common tobacco)
Lineage: Eukaryota; Viridiplantae; Streptophyta; Magnoliopsida; Solanales; Solanaceae
Description: long non-coding RNA (NTAB_LNC008715)
Source: RNAcentral